UACGUAGGGGGCAAGCGUUGUCCGGAUUUAUUGGGCGUAAAGAGCGUGUAGGCGGCCAGAUAGGUCAGCUGUGAAAACUCGAGGCUCAACCUCGAGCUGUCGGCGGAAACCAUCCGGCUAGAGUCCGGAAGAGGAGAGUGGAAUUCCCGGUGUAGCGGUGAAAUGCGCAGAUAUCGGGAAGAACACCUGUGGCGAAGGCGGCUCUCUGGGACGGUACUGACGCUGAGACGCGAAAGCGUGGGGAGCAAACAGG
This 253-nucleotide ribosomal RNA is filed under the name uncultured bacterium. RNAcentral's name for it is "partial 16S ribosomal RNA". It matches the Rfam family "Bacterial small subunit ribosomal RNA", at positions 524 to 776 of the family's 1533-position model. The record is from RNAcentral.